RNAcentral lists this ribosomal RNA (301 nucleotides) under uncultured bacterium. RNAcentral's name for it is "partial 16S ribosomal RNA". It matches the Rfam family "Bacterial small subunit ribosomal RNA", at positions 509 to 807 of the family's 1533-position model. The record is from RNAcentral.
CAGCAGCCGCGGUAACACGUAGGGCGCAAGCGUUAUCCGGAAUUAUUGGGCGUAAAGAGCUCGUAGGCGGUUUGUCGCGUCUGCCGUGAAAGUCCGGGGCUCAACCCCGGAUCUGCGGUGGGUACGGGCAGACUAGAGUGAUGUAGGGGAGACUGGAAUUCCUGGUGUAGCGGUGAAAUGCGCAGAUAUCAGGAGGAACACCGAUGGCGAAGGCAGGUCUCUGGGCAUUAACUGACGCUGAGGAGCGAAAGCAUGGGGAGCGAACAGGAUUAGAUACCCCUGUAGUCCCUGUCUCUUAUAC